This 949-nucleotide long non-coding RNA is filed under the name Lupinus angustifolius (narrow-leaved blue lupine). Its description in RNAcentral is "long non-coding RNA (LANG_LNC001103)". Lineage: Eukaryota; Viridiplantae; Streptophyta; Magnoliopsida; Fabales; Fabaceae. The record is from RNAcentral.
GCACAGAUAUUAUGACACUCUUAGCUUAUUACAUCUACAUUUCCAUUUGGCUGAGUUUGGACAUUAUCCAGAAAUUCAAUAAAUCUCCCAACAUGAAUCAUUUUGCAUAAAAUUAACGUAGACAUGUCAAAAGAAUAAAGUGUCAUACGGAAAAUAAAAAUGAACUUUUAAGUAUAAAGUUAGCUACUUUCUUUUAUAGAUUUAUAGAAACUUUUACAUCAUCCUUAAUAAAUUCUUUUAAUUGUGUUAGAUUUUGUUAAUACCUACUGACAGGUGGUUGAUACAUGUCUACUUCUCAAUUAAAAAAAAUCUCCAAAGUUUGAAUCUUAUACCUGCAAAAAAAAGUGGGAGAUGAUUAUAUCACUAUAUUGUAAAUGUUUUUGGCUUGAAACCUCUUGAGCGUUCCAGCGGUGGCCUGUGACAAAAGCACCGUCCAUAAAUAUUGGUGCUGCUAGGAGCGAGAAUUUUUGUUUAUUAAUAGAGAAUCGUUUAGCAAUUAGAGCAUGAUCCUUAUCUCCUUCAAGCCCUUAAAAAAAAUAGAAAAACUAAAGAAAGAGAAAGAGGCAGAUAAAUCAAUCAAGUAGAGAGAAUGAAACAGAAAGAAACUGGAAUGAUUAUAUUUUCUUCAGAUUUAUAAAGAGUGGUCUUCAUAUCAAAACUCUAACUUUGGAUUUAAAAAGUAGCAAAACAAUAUGUAGAAAUGAGCUUCCUUUGUUGCCUUUACUUCCACGACUUCUUAUGCCUUCUAAGUUGUUAGUUUGGUGUAGGUAUUGGAUGCACUAUGGCAUAAUGGGGAAGGUGAAUCAGCUGUGUAAGAUGAGGAGUGAGAAAUUUAUGAGGUGUGGCCGUGUCGUGUGAGAUGAAUUUGAAAUAUGUGAGGUUACAGUGUUGGAUGAGUGAGUGAGGAGUGAAAUGGAAGGUAGAAGGUUAAAUGGAAGUGAGAUGGGUU